GCCAAAGAACUUGCGGAAGAAUCUUGCUUAAUUCUUGCGCUGAUGUGUAAACACAGCCGCAAGCGGCUAGCAAUAACUUGCAGCAAUAACUUCUGCAAGCGACUUUCUAGUGUAAACGCAGCUUUAGACUUUGGUCUAACAUUAGUCUGUGCUUUGCAAUGUUGUAAUUGGUCGUCGGUCGAUUUAGAAGUGAAGUUUGUUUGUAAACAAACGAAGAGGUGGUGUGUUAAGAAGUAGGACUUGUGGCCUAUAGUACCAAAUGUCAUUGUUUAUGUGGCAAAAGCAAUACAGUUAACGGAAUAUCAUUUCAAAAAUAUAUUCAUAAAGUGUGCUUCCAGUGAUGUCGAAACGAUCAGUGGUAUGGUCAGCAAAGUUGAUCUUGCAGCACUUCAUCCGAAAAAAGCUGUUCACGAGAGAUCAUAGCAGUUUCUUUUCCGGCGCUAGGAAGUGCGUUUAUAUAAGUAGUGCCUGUUAUGUUGAGGGACGCAGAGAAGAAAGUGCUAUCAGCAAUUUUAAUUCAUCACGAGUAACAACUCAACAAAGUCCACAGGAGCUCCUUAUCCAAAAUGCAGUGAGCAGAGAUGAGCCUCUCACACUGGAGGAGUGGUCGUCAUUAUGCGAGGAAAUACUGGUCAGCAAAGGCAGACUGAAACCUACAACACUGGCUGCAUAUAUAAUGUCACAGUGUGUCAGAACCAGUAAUCUAAAAGUGGGUCUAUCGUUGCUGACAUACCUGGAAUCCACAGCUUCUGGACCAAACCUUGCGACAUUAAGUGCUUUCUUCAAGCUUUGGCAUGCUUGUGGAGGAAGUUAUGAAGAAAAGGAAAUGUUGUCACGAUAUGACAACUUGAGAAAACAGUAUCCUCUGUUAGAUGCUGCUACAUCUGAAAGUGCUGCAAUGGCACUUUCACGUACUUCGAGGUGGCAAGAUGCUUUUGAACUACUGGAUAUGAUUAAGCUGACCCACCAUCCUAAAUCUGCUGUUUACACUUCCUUGGCUGUUGCUGCAUUUCGUAAUGGAAAUAAUGAACUUGCCCACUCAGUCAUGGAGGAAAUAUUUGAACGGGAUGAUAGACGACCGGGUCCUGAGGCCUAUUUGGCUUGGCUGCAGCACAGUGAUCCAGAAGAACUGUUACAAUUUAUUGCAACCCAUGGAGAAAAGCCUACUGACGAAGUAGUGUGUGCUUUGUCUGAGAAGCUGGAAGCUGACAGAGGAUUUCAAGCAAAUUUUACAACUGUAAACAAGAGGGGCAUUUGCCAGACAUGUAACAAUCAGUUGACACCACAGCUUCCCACACCAACUGAAUAUAAGCAGUUACAGGUGGCAAUGUUGGACCGGGUUUUACUAUCGGAUGAUGUAUUUCUUAAGACAUCACCUAAAGAGGUUGUUCACUUUCAAGACAUGUUAAAGAAGAACAGAACUUGGGAUGUAGUAAUAGAUGGCCUGAAUGUGGCAUUUGCUAGUGGCUCUUCUUCUAGUAGCAGUCAUGCCAAGCUGCUUUUUCUUGUAGUGGAACAGUUCUGGCGGCAAGGGAAAAAAGUGCUUGUACUUGGUCGCAAACACAUGAAAAACUGGCCCAAAAGACAGAUGGAAUCACUUUCUAAUUGUGCUCAGUUGUUUCUAGCUGACAAUUUAUCACAGGAUGAUCCUCUUGUACUACUAGCAGCACUACACAGUGGGCUUGGAACAAAAAUUGUUUCACGAGAUCUAAUGCGUACACACAUGUUCCUGCUGAAGGACAAGGAGCUUCGCAGUAUUUUUAGGCGCUGGCAGUAUUCACAUCAAUGCUUCUUUGAAAUUAAAAAUAAUGGAAGAGUUGUAAUUAAGGAUCCAUUGCCAUUCCACCCAUUUGCUCAGCAUCAUCAUGAUGGUUCAUGGCAUCUGCCUUAUGAGGUCCCAGGCUCAUCCCCAAAUAAGAGAUAUAAUCAUUUGGAAGUCCCAGAACAUUGGUUGUGCCUCUCAAAAGUAUAGGCUGGAAAGGAGUCACGAGCAUCGACAAGUGUUAGCCGCUCACGCCACGGAAGUCGCAUUGGAAGACCAAGAAGUCUCAACCUGUGCAGUAUCUCAAGCAAGGGUGGCACGAGAGGCUUGUGCUCACCCUUCUUCUUACUUCCUUUUGCCGAUACCUGCAUCAGUGCAUCUGAAGAACCCUGAAAUGGUCAUAGGUGUCAAACAUGAACCAGUGCCAUUCUACAAGGUGUACAACUUUGCUUCUGCCGUUUGCUGAUAAGUGGCGACAAUGGAGGUGUUACUGUUUUGUUUCAAUAUGAAGAAAACAGCGCUUGAGCCUCAUCGAAUGCUCUCAAGUACAUGUGGUAAGGACGCUAUUAGUGAAAGAACAUGUCAUAAGUGGUUUCAACAUUUCAAGAACGGUAAUUUUAGCACCAUAGACCGGCAAAGUGGUGGACAAGAGAAUGUUUUCGAAGAUGCAGAAUUGGAGACAUUGCUGAGUGAAGACUCGCGUCAAAGAUGGAAAGACUGCCCUGUUGUUGAGAUAUUUUCUGACUGCACUGCCCCCAUUUCUGUUUUAUUUUUACAGGAUAUUUAUUUGGUUGUCAAGUUUGUAAGUGGUACAAAGCUACUUUAAUUUGGGUUGUUUACUCACUUGUUACUGCUGCCUAAAUAUCAAAUUGGUGGACUGCAUCUGUUUGUCGUUAUUUUAGUUUGUCUGUAUCAUAUUUAUCCGAGUAUAAGAUGACCCCCAUUUUUUAAGAGGCUCCUUGAGAAAAAAUUAUUUUUAACAUAUUCUGACUAAUCAAAAUAACAAAUUUUUAUUGACUGUCUAUAUUUUGAUAGUACAAGGCGAAAUAAACAAAAAGUUUACAGUAAUUUUUUUUAUCUUUGGUGCCUUUUUUGUUUAGUUAGCCAGUCGCGUGGGGUAUCACUAUUUUUAAUCACCACACCACCCGAACAGGACAGCUGUGAAACUUAUAUCUUUGUUUGUCCCGAAUAUGCAAUGAUUUCUAAGGUUGUGGUUACAGUGGUACCUGAGAAAACAGCUGUUUUUAUCUGAAUAUAUAUCAGAUUUCACUUUGAUACUGACAUGAGAAUGUUACAACUCAUUGUCUGCCCACCACUUUAUUAUCAUAGAACCAGCAGCUGACUUAUCCCCAGUCAUUCCUGUCAUACCCCACGGUGAGCAUCAACAACAUUGCUGCACAAAACAUUUAAGUACAGCACUAGUUCCGAUCUAUACUUUUACCGUACCAAUUCAAUUCGAAUCCGUGGUUCAUAAAAAGUCAAAGCAUGCAGUGUAGUUUCCCAUGGUUGCCAGCACAACGAAAUUUGCUGCCUGCUCAACACUCCCUUCCUGGCACCCAUCAUAGUUUUCACUUCACAACCAAGCUAGUGUCACUGUUCCCCCUCCACCCAUGUGCUUGAGCAACAGUGAAACACGGGUGGCAAUAUCUUCUAGGCUGCAGCUCACAUGUAACAACAAAAGCUAAUACAUAAGUAAAAGGUCGCAUUCAUGAUUCAGUCCAAUUCAAACUUUCACUCCUCCCAUGAUCUAGGUACUAUCUCCACAACAGGUCUUUCCGCGUAAUUUAUUCUUGCGAUAACAAUGCAGUCAGUAUAAUGUGAUUUAUUUCGUUUGUUAGACAUUUAAUUCUGGAUUCAUUUUCUUUCUCAUUUCAUCUGAAUGUCACCAUCUUGUUCUAAAGCUGGUAACGUUUUUCCCGUUUCUAAGAAAUGAAUAGCGACUAAAUUUUUCACUUGCAAUCCACUUGGUAAAUCAUUACUGUUUUUCAUAACCAAAUAAAAUAUUGACUUGGGCUCAGAAUCAAGUAACGGUUUUUGAAGGAUGAUUUUCACCUUUGAAUAUUACCUUUAUUUAAAAAGUGCCAUAACUGUAAGUACACGGCAUCCAUACACAUAGGAGAACGUUUUAUUGAACAUCUGCUCAAAUACAAAAAAAUUCUCCUGUGUUCCACAAAAUUGUCAGUUUUUAAGCAGAACAUGACAUUGUUUUAGUGGCCAGUUCAUAGUUUCUCCAGUAUUUUUUGCACUAUAGCUAUGAGCAACCUACCAUUCAGAAUUUGUCAAAAUAAAUUUCUACAAAAACUUUAAACAGCCAAAGCUUCAUCUGUAAGUGUAAGACAACCUGUAUA
Schistocerca americana (American grasshopper) is the source of this 4110-nucleotide RNA transcript. It is a transcript of the gene named mitochondrial ribonuclease P catalytic subunit, with no coding region annotated. The transcript is spliced from 11 exons. The record is from RefSeq and is a predicted model, not a curated record. NCBI's taxonomy places the organism in Eukaryota, Metazoa, Arthropoda, Insecta, Orthoptera, Acrididae.